AAGAUGCUGAAGAUUUGUUAACAUAGACAACCACCAUCACCAAAAGCGAAAACCACAAUAGAAGUUGACAAAAUCGUGCAAGAAAGACAACACAAAUACCUGAUUAUAAUUGUGCAGGAUAUGUUACAAAGUUGAUACAAGUACAGUACAUUAAAAUAUAAAAUACAUAGGCAGUUAGAAAAUAUAAAUGGUUUAAAAAUACAAAAUACCUAUAGUUUUUGUAUUUAUAGUUCUACUUAUGUAUUGGACAAGCAGCAAAGUGUUUUAUAACAAAAAGUGUAAAGCGAAGGUAAAUAAAUUUAAAAGCGCAACAAAAUAUUUAAAAUGUGAUUAUCUGAUUUUAAUUUUAUUCAGGGUAAUUCACCAAAUAUGCUCACUUCAUUUUUCUCUUUAAUAAUGAAUUUAUUUAAAUUCUAAUUUUCGAAUAAAUUUAAAAACCAUACUUUUAAAUUCUUGUAGUUUUUUGUAUUUCUUAAACAAUUUUUAAGGUGAUAUACACUUUUUUUUUCAAAUAAAAACCCCCUGUUAGGUCAACUAUUUAAUUUUUAAUUUUGGUGUAAGUAUCUAGCUUAAAAUUUAAACUAGUAGUUUUUCAAUUAUUAAAUUAUUAAUAAUAAUAAUAAUAGUCAUUAGAAUUGCAGGAUAAAACAAAAAAUAUAAAACUAAUGUAACAUUGGAUCUAGUAUUUAUUAUACUUGAGCCAUUUUUACAAAUUAUACACGCUGAUAGAAAUAUAAUAAUCACUAAAAUGUAUAAAUCACCAUAUUUUAUAACCAUAUAAAUGAAAAACUACACGUUCGAAUUUUUAUGUUGAUACUUCAACAUUUUUAGAAAAUUUAUACUGCUUAAUAAUUUACAGUAGUAAAGAGAGUUCUCAUUUGAAAAAUAAAGGUUAGUAUCUUCACGAUAAACUCCUUUAAACAGUAAAUUGAAUCACAAUAAUUUUAAAACAUGGUCUAAGGUCUUUAAGACUGUAUACUUUUUUAAAAAUUUCAAAAAUUUGAUUUUAAAUAACCACAUUAUUGAAAAAAAAGGGAUUUGCAUUAUUGGUAAAUCAUCCUGUAUAUAGAAAACAGAUACUUGUGCAUAGUAAAACUAUAUAUAUGAAACAGAAAAUCAUAGUAAACCAGAUUAUUAAAAGUGGAAAAUGAUAAAAUAGGUAGUAUAUUUUUCCGUAAUUUACAAAUAAACGAAGAAGUAAAGAAACAGUCACAUAUACGUAUUACAUACCCACAAAAAUUACACGUAAAAAACGCAUCAUUAAUUAUUUUAAAACUGAGUAAUUAUUCAAUUAAUCUAAUUGAUGUAAAUUUAAUAAAAAUUCAAAAUGGAAAGUUCAAAUAUUACACUUAGAUUCGGCCAGUAGACUUAGUAUAAGCAUUGCUUAUAAAUUAUAAUUUAUAAAAUAUCAUAUAAUAUGCAGGUAGUGUAUUCAUUUUAUUGCAUAUACAAUAAAAUAUACUUUAUGUUUAUAAUAAAUGGUAUUAGUAGUUAGAUUAAACAUUUAUAAUAUCGAAUAAUGUGACAUUUAUAAAUUAUUACUAUAUUACUGUACCAAUUUACCUAUAAGAGUUAUUGUAAAGUUAAUACUCAUUAUUAUUAAAUCGAUAUUUCAAACGGUUGAGUCAGAAGAAAGCAUUUUAUGUAGAUACAUUAUAAUGCAUUUAUUUUUAAAAAUUACCACCACCUAAUUAUACUACAUGACUAAUAAAAAUCUACAAAUAUGCGUUUUAUGUUAUAAGAUAUCCAUAAUUUAAAAAAAAACUACGAUGACUUAAAAAAAUCCAAGAAUAAUAUGAAAUAAUUAUAACGAUACCACUACUAUUAUAUAAAUUAAAUUUAUGACUUACGGAGAACACGGAGAUCUAUGUAGUCAUAAGUUGAACCGUACGGACUAUGAACUUUACAUAAAUAACGACCAGUGUCCUUUAAACGUAAGUUUCGUAAGCUUAAUACGUCUCCUCGUAUUUGACUAUCAUGUGGAAGUGGUGAUCGGUUACGACUCCAUUUCACGGUGUAUUGCUAUUGAAAGUGUUUAAAUAUCGAUGUGUACAAAGAUCUAUUUAUUAUGAAUUAUAACUAAUAAUAUUACUCACUUCGCUUGAUCUGGGAAGCACACACCGGAGAUUAGUGUGUCCACCUUCGAUUACUUCUCGGUUGCGACCAACAGCUCUGAUUAUUGGAGCAGGACGAUCUCGUGAGUUAUCUAAACAGUAUAGGUAGGUACGUAAUUUAUUAACUAUAUUAUAUGUAAUAUAGGUACCUAAAAUUAAACUAUUCAAAACUAUUCAAACUAAACUAUUCAAAAUCAAAACAAACGAUAUACCUAAAUAUACUCAAUUAUAUAAGGACAAACCAAUUCUAUUUUUCUUCUCCAAACACGUUUCUUCUUCGUCCGAACCGUCGGAACAGUGAGGUAUACCAUCGCAAUAUUGUGUAUAAUAAAUGCAUCGCCCGUCGUUACAGCGGAACUCGUCAAUCAGACAAGAUGCUGAAGAUUUGUUAACAUAGACAACCACCAUCACCAAAAGCGAAAACCACAAUAGAAGUUGACAAAAUCGUGCAAGAAAGACAACACAAAUACCUGAUUAUAAUUGUGCAGGAUAUGUUACAAAGUUGAUACAAGUACAGUACAUUAAAAUAUAAAAUACAUAGGCAGUUAGAAAAUAUAAAUGGUUUAAAAAUACAAAAUACCUAUAGUUUUUGUAUUUAUAGUUCUACUUAUGUAUUGGACAAGCAGCAAAGUGUUUUAUAACAAAAAGUGUAAAGCGAAGGUAAAUAAAUUUAAAAGCGCAACAAAAUAUUUAA
Long non-coding RNA from Aphis gossypii (cotton aphid), 2808 nucleotides. RefSeq lists it as uncharacterized. The transcript has 3 exons. The record is from RefSeq and is a predicted model, not a curated record. NCBI's taxonomy places the organism in Eukaryota, Metazoa, Arthropoda, Insecta, Hemiptera, Aphididae.